Molecule: ribosomal RNA, 253 nt
Filed under: uncultured bacterium
Lineage: Bacteria
Description: partial 16S ribosomal RNA
Rfam family: Bacterial small subunit ribosomal RNA
Source: RNAcentral
UACGUAGGAUGCAAGCGUUGUCCGGAAUUAUUGGGCGUAAAGAGCGCGCAGGCGGUAAUUCAAGUCAGAUGUGAAAUAUCCGGGCUUAACCCGGAGGGGUCAUUUGAAACUGAGUAACUAGAGUACAGCAGAGGAUAGCGGAAUUCCCGGUGUAGUGGUGAAAUGCGUAGAUAUCGGGAGGAACACCAGUGGCGAAGGCGGCUAUCUGGGCAGUAACUGACGCUGAGGAGCGAAAGCGUGGGGAGCGAACAGG